Molecule: ribosomal RNA, 156 nt
Filed under: Pseudoduganella lurida
Lineage: Bacteria; Pseudomonadati; Pseudomonadota; Betaproteobacteria; Burkholderiales; Oxalobacteraceae
Description: Massilia lurida partial 16S ribosomal RNA
Rfam family: Bacterial small subunit ribosomal RNA
Source: RNAcentral
CUGGCUCAGAUUGAACGCUGGCGGCAUGCUUUACACAUGCAAGUCGAACGGUAACAGGGAGCUUGCUCCGCUGACGAGUGGCGAACGGGUGAGUAAUAUAUCGGAACGUACCCAAGAGUGGGGGAUAACGUAGCGAAAGUUACGCUAAUACCGCAU